AAAUUGAAGAGUUUGAUCAUGGCUCAGAUUGAACGCUGGCGGCAGGCCUAACACAUGCAAGUCGAGCGGUAGCACAGAGAGCUUGCUCUCGGGUGACGAGCGGCGGACGGGUGAGUAAUGUCUGGGAAACUGCCUGAUGGAGGGGGAUAACUACUGGAAACGGUAGCUAAUACCGCAUAACGUCGCAAGACCAAAGUGGGGGACCUUCGGGCCUCAUGCCAUCAGAUGUGCCCAGAUGGGAUUAGCUAGUAGGUGGGGUAACGGCUCACCUAGGCGACGAUCCCUAGCUGGUCUGAGAGGAUGACCAGCCACACUGGAACUGAGACACGGUCCAGACUCCUACGGGAGGCAGCAGUGGGGAAUAUUGCACAAUGGGCGCAAGCCUGAUGCAGCCAUGCCGCGUGUGUGAAGAAGGCCUUCGGGUUGUAAAGCACUUUCAGCGGGGAGGAAGGCGUUAAGGUUAAUAACCUUGCGAUUGACGUUACCCGCAGAAGAAGCACCGGCUAACUCCGUGCCAGCAGCCGCGGUAAUACGGAGGGUGCAAGCGUUAAUCGGAAUUACUGGGCGUAAAGCGCACGCAGGCGGUCUGUCAAGUCGGAUGUGAAAUCCCCGGGCUCAACCUGGGAACUGCAUUCGAAACUGGCAGGCUAGAGUCUUGUAGAGGGGGGUAGAAUUCCAGGUGUAGCGGUGAAAUGCGUAGAGAUCUGGAGGAAUACCGGUGGCGAAGGCGGCCCCCUGGACAAAGACUGACGCUCAGGUGCGAAAGCGUGGGGAGCAAACAGGAUUAGAUACCCUGGUAGUCCACGCCGUAAACGAUGUCGAUUUGGAGGUUGUGCCCUUGAGGCGUGGCUUCCGGAGCUAACGCGUUAAAUCGACCGCCUGGGGAGUACGGCCGCAAGGUUAAAACUCAAAUGAAUUGACGGGGGCCCGCACAAGCGGUGGAGCAUGUGGUUUAAUUCGAUGCAACGCGAAGAACCUUACCUGGUCUUGACAUCCACAGAACUUUCCAGAGAUGGAUUGGUGCCUUCGGGAACUGUGAGACAGGUGCUGCAUGGCUGUCGUCAGCUCGUGUUGUGAAAUGUUGGGUUAAGUCCCGCAACGAGCGCAACCCUUAUCCUUUGUUGCCAGCGGUCGGCCGGGAACUCAAAGGAGACUGCCAGUGAUAAACUGGAGGAAGGUGGGGAUGACGUCAAGUCAUCAUGGCCCUUACGACCAGGGCUACACACGUGCUACAAUGGCAUAUACAAAGAGAAGCGACCUCGCGAGAGCAAGCGGACCUCAUAAAGUAUGUCGUAGUCCGGAUUGGAGUCUGCAACUCGACUCCAUGAAGUCGGAAUCGCUAGUAAUCGUAGAUCAGAAUGCUACGGUGAAUACGUUCCCGGGCCUUGUACACACCGCCCGUCACACCAUGGGAGUGGGUUGCAAAAGAAGUAGGUAGCUUACCUUCGGGAGGGCGCUUACCACUUUGUGAUUCAUGACUGGGGUGAAGUCGUAACAAGGUAACCGUAGGGGAACCUGCGGUUGGAUCACCUCCUUACCUUAAAGAA
This 1547-nucleotide ribosomal RNA is filed under the name Klebsiella pneumoniae. RNAcentral describes it as "bacterial SSU rRNA". It matches the Rfam family "Bacterial small subunit ribosomal RNA". The record is from RNAcentral. Lineage: Bacteria; Pseudomonadati; Pseudomonadota; Gammaproteobacteria; Enterobacterales; Enterobacteriaceae.